Molecule: ribosomal RNA, 1261 nt
Filed under: metagenome
Description: bacterial LSU rRNA
Rfam family: Bacterial large subunit ribosomal RNA
Source: RNAcentral
UGGCAUAUGGACCGUACCCGAAACCGACACAGGUGGACUGGAUGAGUAUUCCAAGGCGCUUGAGAGAACCAUAUCGAAGGAACUAGGCAAAUUACCCGCGUAAGUUAGCGAUAAGCGGGACCCAUCUUUGGGCAACCAAGGGUGGGUGGCACAGACCAGGGGGUGGCGACUGUUUAGUAAAAACACAGGGCUCUGCGAAGUCGAGAGACGACGUAUAGGGUCUGACGCCUGCCCGGUGCCGGAAGGUCAAGGGGAGAUGUGCAAGCAUCGAACCGAAGCCCCGGUAAACGGCGGCCGUAACUAUAACGGUCCUAAGGUAGCGAAAUUCCUUGUCGGGUAAGUUCCGACCUGCACGAAUGGCGUAACGACCUCCCCACUGUCUCCGGUAUGGACUCAGCGAAAUUGAAUUCCCCGUGAAGAUGCGGGGUACCCGUGGUCAGACGGAAAGACCCUAUGAACCUUUACUGCAGCUUGGCAGUGGCGCCAGAAGAGGGCUGUGUAGGAUAGGUGGGAGCCAUUGAAACCGGGGCGCCAGCUUCGGUGGAGGCAACCUUGAAAUACCACCCUGCGCUCUUUUGGCGUCUAACCGAACCCGGUUAUCCCGGGUCGGGACCCUGCCUGGUGGGCAGUUUGACUGGGGCGGUCGCCUCCCAAAAGGUAACGGAGGCGCGCGAUGGUGGGCUCAAGCCGGUCGGACAUCGGCUGUUGAGUGCAAAGGCACAAGCCCGCCUGACUGCGAGCGCGACAGCGCGAGCAGGGACGAAAGUCGGCCUUAGUGAUCCGGUGGUCCCGCGUGGAAGGGCCAUCGCUCAACGGAUAAAAGGUACUCUAGGGAUAACAGGCUGAUCUCCCCCAAGAGUCCACAUCGACGGGGAGGUUUGGCACCUCGAUGUCGGCUCAUCGCAUCCCGGGGCUGGAGCAGGUCCCAAGGGUUCGGCUGUUCGCCGAUUAAAGCGGUACGUGAGCUGGGUUUAGAACGUCGUGAGACAGUUCGGUCCCUAUCUGCCAUGGGUGUUGGAGACUUGAGAGGAGCCGUCCCUAGUACGAGAGGACCGGGACGGACGCACCUCUGGUGCACCGGUUGUCGCGCCAGCGGCAUCGCCGGGUAGCCAAGUGCGGAAUGGAUAACCGCUGAAGGCAUCUAAGCGGGAAACCAGCCUCAAAACCAGGUCUCCCUAAGGGUCGUGCAAGACCAGCACGUCGAUAGGCCGCACGUAUAAGUGGGGUAACCCACUCAGCUAAGCGGUACUAAUCACCCGAA